RNAcentral lists this ribosomal RNA (399 nucleotides) under uncultured Corynebacterium sp. RNAcentral describes it as "bacterial SSU rRNA". It matches the Rfam family "Bacterial small subunit ribosomal RNA", at positions 84 to 498 of the family's 1533-position model. The record is from RNAcentral. Lineage: Bacteria; Bacillati; Actinomycetota; Actinomycetes; Mycobacteriales; Corynebacteriaceae.
GAGGUACUCGAGUGGCGAACGGGUGAGUAACACGUGGGUGAUCUGCCCUGCACUCUGGGAUAAGCCUGGGAAACUGGGUCUAAUACCGGAUAGGACCAUGCUUUAGUGUGUGUGGUGGAAAGUUUUUUCGGUGUAGGAUGAGCCCGCGGCCUAUCAGCUUGUUGGUGGGGUAAUGGCCUACCAAGGCGGUGACGGGUAGCCGGACUGAGAGGUUGGUCGGCCACAUUGGGACUGAGAUACGGCCCAGACUCCUACGGGAGGCAGCAGUGGGGAAUAUUGCACAAUGGGCGCAAGCCUGAUGCAGCGACGCCGCGUGGGGGAUGACGGCCUUCGGGUUGUAAACUCCUUUCGCCAGGGACGAAGCGUUUUGUGACGGUACCUGUAGAAGAAGCACCGGCU